Molecule: ribosomal RNA, 253 nt
Filed under: uncultured bacterium
Lineage: Bacteria
Description: partial 16S ribosomal RNA
Rfam family: Bacterial small subunit ribosomal RNA
Source: RNAcentral
UACGGAGGGUGCAAGCGUUAUCCGGAUUCACUGGGUUUAAAGGGAGCGUAGGUGGGGCGGUAAGUCAGUGGUGAAAUCUCCGGGCUUAACUCGGAAACUGCCGUUGAUACUAUCGUUCUUGAAUAUUGUGGAGGUAAGCGGAAUAUGUCAUGUAGCGGUGAAAUGCUUAGAUAUGAUACAGAACACCGAUAGCGAAGGCAGCUUGCUGAACCAAUAUUGACGCUGAGGCACGAAAGCGUGGGGAGCGAACAGG